CAGGCCUAACACAUGCAAGUCGAACGCUAUCGCAAGAUAGAGUGGCGCACGGGUGAGUAACGCGUGGGAAUCUGCCCUUUUGUCUGGGACAACAGCUGGAAACGGCUGCUAAUACCGGAUACGCCCUUCGGGGGAAAGGUCCGCCGCAGAAGGAGGAGCCCGCGUCUGAUUAGCUUGUUGGUAGGGUAAUGGCCUACCAAGGCAACGAUCAGUAGCUGGUCUGAGAGGAUGAUCAGCCACACUGGGACUGAGACACGGCCCAGACUCCUACGGGAGGCAGCAGUGGGGAAUAUUGGACAAUGGGGGCAACCCUGAUCCAGCAAUGCCGCGUGUGUGAUGAAGGCCUUAGGGUUGUAAAGCACUUUCACUGGUGAAGAUGAUGACGGUAACCAGAGAAGAAGCCCCGGCUAACUUCGUGCCAGCAGCCGCGGUAAUACGAAGGGGGCAAGCGUUGUUCGGAAUUACUGGGCGUAAAGGGAGCGCAGGCGGUUCAUUCAGUUAGGCGUGAAAGCCCCGGGCUCAACCUGGGAACUGCGCUUAAUACUGAUGGACUAGAAAUCAGAAGAGGAUAGUGGAAUUCCCAGUGUAGAGGUGAAAUUCGUAGAUAUUGGGAAGAACACCGGUGGCGAAAGCGGCUAUCUGGUCUGAA
This 649-nucleotide ribosomal RNA is filed under the name uncultured bacterium. RNAcentral describes it as "bacterial SSU rRNA". It matches the Rfam family "Bacterial small subunit ribosomal RNA", at positions 43 to 738 of the family's 1533-position model. The record is from RNAcentral.